Molecule: ribosomal RNA, 465 nt
Filed under: uncultured bacterium
Lineage: Bacteria
Description: partial 16S ribosomal RNA
Rfam family: Bacterial small subunit ribosomal RNA
Source: RNAcentral
CCUACGGGGGGCAGCAGUGGGGAAUAUUGCGCAAUGGGCGAAAGCCUGACGCAGCGACGCCGCGUGAGGGAUGAAGGUCUUCGGAUCGUAAACCUCUGUCAGCAGGGAAGAACGGUCCCUGUGCUAAUCAGCAGUGAAUUGACGGUACCUGCAAAGGAAGCACCGGCUAACUCCGUGCCAGCAGCCGCGGUAAUACGGAGGGUGCGAGCGUUAAUCGGAAUUACUGGGCGUAAAGCGCUCGUAGGCGGUAUGUCAAGUCAAGGGUGAAAUCCCCGCGCUCAACGUGGGAACUGCCUUUGAAAGUGGCAAACUGGAGGGUGGUAGAGGAUAGUGGAAUUCGAGGUGUAGGAGUGAGAUCCGUAGAUAUCUGGAGGAACAUCAGUGGCGAAGGCGACUAACUGGAACAUAACUGACGCUGAGGAGCGAAAGCGUGGGUAGCAAACAGGAUUAGAGACCCUAGUAGUC